Molecule: ribosomal RNA, 466 nt
Filed under: uncultured bacterium
Lineage: Bacteria
Description: partial 16S ribosomal RNA
Rfam family: Bacterial small subunit ribosomal RNA
Source: RNAcentral
CUACGGGACGCUGCAGUAGGGAAUAUUGGACAAUGGGGGAAACCCUGAUCCAGCAAUGCCGCGUGUGUGAAGAAGGCCUGCGGGUUGUAAAGCACUUUCGGUUGGGAGGACUGCUUCUAGCACUAAUAUUGUUGGAAGUUGACGUUACCUUCAGAAGAAGCACCGGCUAACUCCGUGCCAGCAGCCGCGGUAAUAUCGGAGGGUGCAAGCGUUAAUCGGAAUUACUGGGCGUAAAGCGCGCGUAGGCGGCUAGAUCAGUCGGGUGUGAAAGCCCCGGGCUUAACCUGGGAACUGCAUCCGAUACUGUCUAGCUUGAGUACAGGAGAGGAGAGUGGAAUUCCACAUGUAGCGGUGAAAUGCGUAGAUAUGUGGAGGAACACCAAUGGCGAAGGCAGCUCUCUGGCCUGAUACUGACGCUGAGGUGCGAAAGCGUGGGGAGCAAACAGGAUUAGAUACCCCUGUAGUC